UACAGAGGGUGCUAGCGUUGUUCGGAAUCACUGGGCGUAAAGCGCACGUAGGCGGAUGUGUCAGUCAGGGGUGAAAUCCCGGAGCUCAACUUCGGAACUGCCUUUGAUACAGCACAUCUGGAGUCCGGAAGAGGUGGGUGGAAUUCCUAGUGUAGAGGUGAAAUUCGUAGAUAUUAGGAAGAACACCGGUGGCGAAGGCGGCCCACUGGUCCGGUACUGACGCUGAGGUGCGAAAGCGUGGGGAGCAAACAGG
Molecule: ribosomal RNA, 253 nt
Filed under: uncultured bacterium
Lineage: Bacteria
Description: partial 16S ribosomal RNA
Rfam family: Bacterial small subunit ribosomal RNA
Source: RNAcentral